CCCUUAGAUGUUCUGGGCCGCACGCGCGCUACACUGACGAAUGCAACGAGCUUAUAACCUCGGCCGAAAGGUCUGGGUAAUCUCCAAAUUUCGUCGUGAUGGGGAUAGAUUAUUGCAAUUAUUAAUCUUCAACGAGGAAUGCCUAGUAAGCGCAAGUCAUCAGCUUGCGUUGAUUACGUCCCUGCCCUUUGUACACACCGCCCGUCGCUCCUACCGAUUGAAUGGUCCGGUGAAGCGUUCGGACCGUGGCCUUUGGACGGUUCGCCGUCUGUUGGCUGCGGGAAGUUCGUUAAACCUUAUCAUUUAGAGGAAGGAGAANUCGUAACA
This 327-nucleotide ribosomal RNA is filed under the name uncultured eukaryote. Its description in RNAcentral is "partial 18S ribosomal RNA". It matches the Rfam family "Eukaryotic small subunit ribosomal RNA", at positions 1470 to 1796 of the family's 1831-position model. The record is from RNAcentral.